CCUCCCCUCAGCAAUCGGAUCAGAGUCUCUGGGGGUGGGGCCCCGGGCAUGAGUAAUUUAGAAGUCUCUUCCGCGACCCUCGUGCAGUGCUUGUGCCCUGAACUACCCGGAGGCAACUGACGCGCCCCCUUUGCCCCCCUGUGGGGUAGCUCUGAGUCAUUUACAUCCUGUGACCUUGACUGUCACAGGAGGGAGUCCAGGGGCCCUCCGCUCUUGACAGGACACCUGGAAACUGAAAGAAGGUGGUGAGCAGGGCGCCACCCGCCCAAGGGUGGGGAGUUCAGAGUGCGUUGUUGGGUGUGUGUCCGCGCGCAUGCGCAAGCGUCUCGGCGCAUGCAGAGGCGUGUUCUCGGCUGAAGGUUCGUGGAAAUACGUCUCUCUGGGCGUAUGCAGGUCCUUCUGGGCCGUUCUGCCUGCACGCGCCCGUGCACUUUUGCCUCUGUGCUGCAGCCUGAUCGGUAUGCUGUUCCCGGGCAGCCUCCCCAAAGACCGCACACGGGCGGGUUCUGUGUGGACAGAGUCAAGUGCGGGCUUAGAAAAAUCCACCACGGCCUCUUCAGGCACAAUGUGUUCAGUCGGCCUGCAGGUGGGCAGCUGUUCUCGCUGGCAGCCGGUGGCAGGCCCCGCGUACCCCCUGGGCAUGCCGGGCCCACCGCCCCACCCCUAGGGCACCACCUAGGCACAUCCCUCCCUCCUGCAGAGCCUUCAGUGACCCCUCACUGCCUACAGGAUAAAGUCCAAGCUCCUGGCCCCGCAUCCCAGGCCUCUGACUACUGACCUUUACCUCACCGCCCUCACCGCCCCCAUGGCACCAUGCUCAGGGCCACCUGGCACCGUUUUCUUGGACACCGGGGUGGUAUUAAGCCUCCAGCUGCCCCCUCUGCUGGGCCUCUUACCCUUCUGAGCUGGUAAGGCCCAGCUCAUCGCUCCCCUCCCUGGAAGCCUUCUCUGCCUUUCCCACGAGGAAUGGAUAGCUCUUCCCUCAGUGCUAAGCUUCAAACCACCAUCGAAGCUUCUGCUCCGCAUAGUAUUGGUCAGCUGGGGUGUGUGUCCCCACCAAACUGCGGCCUCCUCUGGGGCUAUCUCACUGGUGCCCCGGGGCCAGCCUGGUACCUCUGGGCUGGACUCCAACGUCUGGGAGAGUCACCCUGAGCAGAAUCCCAGCGCCCAC
Molecule: long non-coding RNA, 1171 nt
Filed under: Felis catus (domestic cat)
Lineage: Eukaryota; Metazoa; Chordata; Mammalia; Carnivora; Felidae
Description: lncRNA (ENSFCAG00000051727.1)
Source: RNAcentral